ACUGCAGGGUUCCAUGCUGCUGACAUACGGUGCUUAAUGAGAAGUUGCCCGUGUUUUUUUCGCUUUAUAUGUGACGAAACAUUCGCGGUGCACUUCUUUUUCAGCAUCCUAUUCUACGUUGAAGACUUCGGGGUUCAACCGCUAACUUCAGGGAAGCCAUGUUAGUCUAUGUAGUGGGGCUGGGUUGAGGGUUUAUCUCCCUUCUUGAACGGUUUCCUGAGCUUUCUUAGCAAGAAUGGGUUAGGGUUGAUUGGACCCUCCCACCUCCUCUGUAGCUCAGCUUUAAAGGAAUCUGUUGAUUCCUUUCCUUUCAGCUGCUAUUGAUUGAGAGAUGAGACCUUAGCCCACAGGGCUGAUGAGAUACAAGGAGGUGUUUGUUAAGGCUUCUGGGAGAGGGAGUAGUUCUUCAUUUCUGUGAGAGAUGCCCGAGGACCCUCCAUGUUCCCUUCAGCCACUUGAUGUGGUAAUGAAUGUGAGCUUGAAAGCAAGCUAGAAUCCAAGAGGUCAUUACCCAGGGCUCUGUAGAUGCAGAGGGAAAGGCCUAUAUCCCAGGGGACAGAUUGGAGAGGCAGAAAGGAGCCAAGAAACAUCUGGGUAACAGAGUUCAACCUGGGACCUGCAUCAAAACUCAACAUGUCUCUAUACCUUUAAGUUGUAUGAGCCUGGACACCUCCUUUUUGUGUAAGUUGCCUUGAAUUUUACCUUUUGUGAGAGAAAUGAGUGACUCUUCGUUGAGUUACCAAUGAGUGUAACUGGCACUCUUUGGAUGAUACAUUCUCUUUGCUUGGCUAUCCCUAUUGUCCUGUAUAAGGUAGGUUGGUGGUACAAGGUCACUUUCUUUUGUGGAAUUCUUGGCUGUACUUCAGGUAUAUUAUUGUCUUAGUGCUUUAACUUUGCAAUGACACUAAGAUGCACUAAUGUGUUUUGUUUUCAGGGAAGGAUCACGUAUCCUCUUCAGGAGACCAGCAGGAUGAUGGACAGGCUUUACCUUCCCAGACUUCUCACCCUCAGAAUCCUGCACUCUGCCGUUCCUACCUCAUCCCUGGGCUUCGGAGUUCUCCGUAAGGUGCUUGCCAUGUUUGUCAAGUCACAAGUCACUGCUGUACAGGGCCAGCUUGCCUGCAGGGCGACCAGAGAGGAGGGCAUCUUAGUGGGGAGACCCAGGAAUCCGAACUGCAACAGGCAAGCGCAGCUGGUGUAUGCUGCCCUGGACGUCGUCACCCAGUCCUGUGUCCUUUCUUCCUCAACUCUAGAAAGGGACCGUGGAACUCAGGAAAGAGAGUCUGUCUUGGAGUUGGGCACCCUCCCAUUGCCCCUGAGUGACACUCUCCAGGGACACUGACAAGGGUAGAAGGCAGCAUUCCAGAACCCUCAACCUUGAUGAUCAAAUUCUACCCACCGAGACUUCCUGGGAUCCUAAGGUAGAGGGGAUCUGGGUUGGAUUGCUCUGGGCAUGAUGAGCACUGUGCCAUCUGCCUGUGCUCGGGACCCACCUCACCCUGCCCCAAUCUAGCCUUACCUACCACCCCUCCUGCCUGCCCCUCAGCAUCCCUUCACACCCAGGCACACUGCUGGAGCAAGCCAGAGCUCAUCUGUGGUACCUGAAAAGAAGUUGCCCGUGUUAUUUUCGCUUUUAUUUGUGACGAAACAAACAUGGUGCACUUCUUUUUCGAUAUCAAAUGUCACCUUGGAGCUCCCCAGGGACCAGUGGGAGGGGCGAGGGCUCCUAGGCUCACUUAGUACUUUUCUCCAUGCGCACGGGAGCAUUCGCCCCAAAGAAACACACCCCACUGCCACCCCUACCCCCACCCUCACCCUGUUGGCUCUGUGUGUUGCUGGGUUCAGAGACACUUGGUGUCUGUCUGCCCCCCUCCUGGGACAGGCAGAGUUGGUAAGGGAAGCCAGGAAGCACACCUCUAGACUCUCUCAUGGGACGGAGUUCAGAUAAGGGAAGCUCAGAAAAAUGAUCAAACAAAUCCAAGGACAGACCCAACAUAACCCAACAACCAGUACAAGUCAGCCACCAACUCCCUCCCGAGUUGACAAGUGCCUAGGUGUCAGCUUCAGGUGUGUACACCGAGACCUGUCACCUGUUGAGUGUCGCACACACACUGUAACUCUAGAAGAGACUGGGCCCCCAGCACAGCCCUGUUCCCGCUUCCUGUCCUGUCUCCACGGGCUGUGGUCUUGGAUACCAUCAGCAAGGCCUUGAGGACUGUGGGUGCUGGCUAUGAUCGGGACCAGGGAACAGCAAGCCGUCAUCAGCCACUGCUGUCUGUCUCUGGUCCCCGACGUUAGUCCCCCCGUGAGCUGUCCUCUGGAGCAGGUGUGAGGCUCUCUCGAAGACAGCUUUUUCCCAGUGGAUUCAUCUUCUUUACGGCUAAUGCUCUCUAGUAGUCUCUCCUCCUGGUAUCAAAUUUGCCUUUGAGCGUGGCUGUUUGGGUGCGGACCCUUGGCGGCUCUCUUAUGUGAGUGGGGGAAGGGAUACUAUCCAGAGAGUUUGUGUGUGAACACCUCAUCCACCCACCUCCCCUGGGGUGGAGGGCGGUUCUUGAAGCUGUGUCAGCAGGAGUAGGGGUUGUGGGAUCACUCUUGGGCCACACUUUGCUAACGUACAAUCCAUUCCUGUUGCUUUACUUAAUUUAUAACCAAAGCUUUGGGUACACUUAUAUAUAGCCGCUGUCAUAAUUCAUCAUCAAAACCCAGCACUGACUUCAUCACAGAGAUAUCACUAUAUCAGCCACACACUUAGCUCUUGGGUCAUACUGGCUCAGUAAUGCCUUUUCAACCUGCUAUGGCCCUAACUGUCCUUUGGGCUCUGUCCUGACUUCAAAGGAUAGAAACACCUUUGGAAAAGCAACAACUCUCCCUUUAUGUCCAUGGAGAAAGGCUACAGGGCAAGGGACAGGCAUGGUCAGCCCAUUUUCCUAGAUUGAAAGUCCCUUUCCACCUAGUGGGUACUGGCCUCGGUGCUGGUGGAGCAGUGAGCACGCCAUACAUUAUAUGUGUGACACCUGCCACCCAGCCCAAGGCCCCUAGGCCCACGUGCUUCUGGAGAGGGGUCUGACUUGGAUGCACCCAAAGAAUGCAGAGGAGACUUGCCCGGCAGUGCCUCUGUUUGGCACCUAAGGUAACCUGACUUGCUGAGUCCCUUUCACAGCCAGCCUUGUACUCUACUGGCAGACCUUUGGACGCUGUCAUUCAUCCCUCCAGCCAAGGUACGUGUAGGCCCAGAGGGAGCCUUGAGAGUAGAAUGUUCUCUGGGCACAAAUCUCACCCCCUGUCUCUUUCACAGGAGAUGCCUGGACAGGACUGCGGCAGCUGGCCCGGGAGAGGCCCCAAGGGAUGGCGUCCACCUCAAGGUGUUUGUUCAUGGAAGAUCUUAAACGUUGACCUCUUUCAAGCACAAAAUCUUUUCUUGAUGAUCUUUCUGCACCCAGUGUCAAGCUCAGGAAUAUGAUCAGCCCCUUGCUGAUGGGAUGUGAGCAGGUGGCUGGCCAGAUGGCAAGGGUUCCCAAAGAUCUGAACAAAUAGACAAGCACAAAUAUAUACUGAAAAACACAGCAAUGAGCACACGAUGAAGGGCCUCGUGACUUCAUGAAGGAGUACCAUGCAGGGAAGCAGGGAAGCAGCUUUGGUCCGCUGUCUGUCACACUGAUGUGCUGGACCUGCAUGUUGGAGCCUCCUGGACUCGUCCCGCUUCCCGAAAACUUCCUUGAUGUCUUCAGUGUUCCAUGGCAUGUGCAUGGAUGCUCCAGCAGACACUUUGCUGGGACCUUUGCCAUGGAUGCCCAAGAUGGGCUAUAUAUGGAAGAAGAACUGUCUUUGGGAGUCAUGAGGGGAGAAACCCCUUGUCAUGAUCUCUCGGGGAGGGGUACUUAGAGUGACUCUCUGCUGGGGCUUGUGACAACCAGGUGAUAUAUUUAGCUAUGAGGCAGGCACUAGGAGUCCAGAUUCUCUUCUGUUGUUAAUGUAGUCAUCUAGGCCAGGGUUCUCCAGAGCUGUUCAGCUUCUGAUAUUCAAAAGGUGAGUGUUCCUUCUAUGCCUCAGGUUAAUCAUAGAGGUAACACCCACAUUUUCAGUAUCUCAAGUUGCCCUGGAAUGUUUCUGAAUGCAAAAUGGCCCAGGGAAAAAGCGAGUUAUCUCCUCUUCCCCCACCCAGGGAUCGAGGGAGAGAUGGAUCCCACAACCUGUGCUUUCCACAGCAAGGUUGGUCCUGGAAUCUGUCCUCUGUGGGCUGUGCCGAGGGCGCCUGUCAGCUGUCUUCUUCAUUUCUGACGGAUUGGGCCUAGGCUCUUGCUCUUCAGGACUAAACCCUUUUGGUAUUUAAAAGGUGGAUAUUCCUUCUAUGUUUAUGGUAUUUAUGAUUAAACAUAGAGGAAAUUUCACGUUUUCAGUGUCAAAUGCUGCUGGGAAAUGGGCCUGAACUGAAGCCACCAUCAGGGCAGUGACAGUACAGUUGCCCCCUCCAGGGUAAGUGGGAAGCUGGCGAUCCACAGAGCAUGCGCCAGACUUGUAGGUGCCUGAGGGCCAUUGACCAAUCUUGAAGAUAAUCUCUGAUGAGCUGCUGGCUCAGUCAGAGGUUGGGGGUCUCAUUCUGGACUCUAUGACAGCAAAUCAGUCUUUCCCAUAGUAUCCCCUUUGCUUCAGAUAGGUUGUUCUUAGGUCGCGCUUUCCAAGAGUAAGCCCUGUUUGGUAUGUAAAAGGUAGAUUUUCCUUUUGUGGUUGUGUGCUUGCUGGUUAGUCAGAGAGGGACAUCCAUGUUUUCAGUCUCACAUGCCUCUUGGGAGCCAUGAUCCACCAGGGAAACAAGGCUGGGCUCAGCACCCUCUGGGUAAGUGGGAAGGUGGUGGACUGCAGACCAUGUGUGUUUCUCAUAUCAUAUGUCUGCUGACCAUCACCUUUAAGGGUCUCCUUGCCUGUGGAGCCAGCCUGACAAAGAGGCGAUGUUGCCUCACUACAGUGAUGUCUGGGCGUGGGAAUGAGAGUCUUUCUGUCUUGUGAUCUGUUUCAGAGAAGCCAUGCACCACAGCUGGUCCUUCCCGGAACUCAGCAUUUCUUUGGUAUUUAAAAGGUGGAUAUUCCUUCUAUGGUUACGUGCUUCCUGGAUAAUCAUAGAGGAACAUCCACUUUUUCAGUAUCA
Molecule: long non-coding RNA, 5143 nt
Organism: Peromyscus californicus insignis
Lineage: Eukaryota; Metazoa; Chordata; Mammalia; Rodentia; Cricetidae
Exons: 4
Source: RefSeq, a predicted model, not a curated record